GACGAACGCUGGCGGCGUGCUUAACACAUGCAAGUCGAACGGUAAGGCCCUUCGGGGUACACGAGUGGCGAACGGGUGAGUAACACGUGGGUGAUCUGCCCUGCACUUCGGGAUAAGCCUGGGAAACUGGGUCUAAUACCGGAUAGGACCACUGCCUGCAUGGGUGGUGGUGGAAAGCUUUUGCGGUGUGGGAUGGGCCCGCGGCCUAUUAGCUUGUUGGGGGGGUGAUGGCCUACCAAGGCGACGACGGGUAGCCGGCCAGAGAGGGUGACCGGCCACACUGGGACUGAGAUACGGCCCAGACUCCUACGGGAGGCAGCAGUGGGGAAUAUUGCACAAUGGGCGCAAGCCUGAUGCAGCGACGCCGCGUGAGGGAUGACGGCCUUCGGGUUGUAAACCUCUUUCAGCACCGACGAAGCGCAAGUGACGGUAGGUGCAGAAGAAGGACCGGCCAACUACGUGCCAGCAGCCGCGGUAA
This 478-nucleotide ribosomal RNA is filed under the name uncultured bacterium. RNAcentral's name for it is "partial 16S ribosomal RNA". It matches the Rfam family "Bacterial small subunit ribosomal RNA", at positions 28 to 523 of the family's 1533-position model. The record is from RNAcentral.